UACGUAGGGUGCAAGCGUUGUUCGGAUUCAUUGGGCGUAAAGGGCGCGUAGGCGGCGGGGUAAGUCGGGUGUGAAAUCUCAGAGCUCAACUCUGAAACUGCAUUCGAUACUGCCGUGCUUGAGGACUGGAGAGGAGACUGGAAUUUACGGUGUAGCGGUGAAAUGCGUAGAUAUCGUAAGGAAGACCAGUGGCGAAGGCGGGUCUCUGGACAGUUCCUGACGCUGAGGCACGAAGGUCAGGGGAGCAAACGGG
RNAcentral lists this ribosomal RNA (253 nucleotides) under uncultured bacterium. RNAcentral's name for it is "partial 16S ribosomal RNA". It matches the Rfam family "Bacterial small subunit ribosomal RNA", at positions 524 to 776 of the family's 1533-position model. The record is from RNAcentral.